RNAcentral lists this ribosomal RNA (442 nucleotides) under uncultured bacterium. RNAcentral describes it as "partial 16S ribosomal RNA". It matches the Rfam family "Bacterial small subunit ribosomal RNA", at positions 338 to 795 of the family's 1533-position model. The record is from RNAcentral.
CCUACGGGAGGCAGCAGUGGGGAAUAUUGGGCAAUGGGCGCAAGCCUGACCCAGCAACGCCGCGUGAAGGAAGAAGGCUUUCGGGUUGUAAACUUCUUUUAAGGGGGAAGAGCAGAAGACGGUACCCCUUGAAUAAGCCACGGCUAACUACGUGCCAGCAGCCGCGGUAAUACGUAGGUGGCAAGCGUUGUCCGGAUUUACUGGGUGUAAAGGGCGUGCAGCCGGAGAGACAAGUCAGAUGUGAAAUCCACGGGCUCAACCCGUGAACUGCGUUUGAAACUGUUUCCCUUGAGUGUCGGAGAGGUAAUCAGAAUUCCUUGUGUAGCGGUGAAAUGCGUAGAUAUAAGGAAGAACACCAGUGGCGAAGGCGGAUUACUGGACGAUAACUGACGGUGAGGCGCGAAAGCGUGGGGAGCAAACAGGAUUAGAUACCCUUGUAGUC